UUUGAACGCACCUUGCGCUCCUUGGUAUUCCGAGGAGCAUGCCUGUUUGAGUGUUAUGUUAUUCUCAAUCCCUUUGGUUUUUAGAAAUAAGACCACUGGGGUUGGUUUUGGAGGCUUAUGCUGGCUUCACAGUCGGCUCCUCUUGAAAGCAUUAGCUGGGCUUUUGCUCGAUGCAAUAGUGAAGCGGGAAAAGCUCAAAUUUAAAAUCUGGCGGUUUUGUCGCCCGAGUUGUAAUCUGGAGAAGCGUUUUCCGUGCCGGACCGUGUACAAGUCUCUUGGAACAGAGCGUCAUAGAGGGUGAGAAUCCCGUCCAUGACACGGACUCCCGGUGCUUUGUGAUACGCUCUCGAAGAGUCGAGUUGUUUGGGAAUGCAGCUCAAAAUGGGUGGUAAGCUCCAUCUAAAGCUAAAUAUUGGCGAGAGACCGAUAGCGAACAAGUACCGUGAGGGAAAGAUGAAAAGCACUUUGGAAAGAGAGUUAAACAGUACGUGAAAUUGUUGAAAGGGAAACGCUUGAAGUCAGUCGCGUCUUACUUGACUCAGCCUUGCUUUCGGCUUGGUGUAUUUCAAGUAGGAUGGGUCAACAUCGAUUUUGACCGGUGGACAAGGGGUGAAGGAAUGUGGCACUCUUCGGAGUGUGUUAUAGCCUUUUCUCAUAUACAUCGGUUGGGAUUGAGGCCCGCAGCGCGCCCUUGUGGCCGGAGGUUCGCCUCACGUAACGCGCUUAGGAUGUUGGCAUAAUGGCUUUAAGCGACCCGUCUUGAAACACGGACCAAGGAGUCUAACAUGCUCGCGAGUGUUAGGGUGGAAAACCCUUGCGCGUAAUGAAAGUGAAAGUUGAGACCCUCCGCAAGGGGGUGCAUCGACGCCCGGCCCUGAAGUUUACUGACGGUGCUGCGGUAGAGCGCGUAUGUUGGGACCCGAAAGAUGGUGAACUAUGCCUGAAUAGGGCGAAGCCAGAGGAAACUCUG
This 970-nucleotide ribosomal RNA is filed under the name Fuscoporia licnoides. Its description in RNAcentral is "Fuscoporia sp. CL-2018a partial large subunit ribosomal RNA". The stretch from base 163 to 970 matches the Rfam family "Eukaryotic large subunit ribosomal RNA", at positions 1 to 866 of the family's 3401-position model. Lineage: Eukaryota; Fungi; Basidiomycota; Agaricomycetes; Hymenochaetales; Hymenochaetaceae. The record is from RNAcentral.